UGCGCAGGCGGUUAUAUAAGACAGAUGUGAAAUCCCCGGGCUCAACCUGGGAACUGCAUCUGAUACUGGCAAGCUUGAGUCUCGUAGAGGGGGUAGAAUUCCAGGUGUAGCGGUGAAAUGCGUAGAGAUCUGGAGGAAUACCGGUGGCGAAGGCGGCCCCUGGACGAAGACUGACGCUCAGGUGCGAAAGCGUGGGGAGCAAACA
Molecule: ribosomal RNA, 205 nt
Filed under: uncultured bacterium
Lineage: Bacteria
Description: partial 16S ribosomal RNA
Rfam family: Bacterial small subunit ribosomal RNA
Source: RNAcentral